CCUACGGGUGGCAGCAGUGAGGAAUAUUGGUCAAUGGGCGCGAGCCUGAACCAGCCAAGUAGCGUGAAGGAUGACUGCCCUACGGGUUGUAAACUUCUUUUAUAAAGGAAUAAAGUGAGGCACGUGUGCCUUUUUGUAUGUACUUUAUGAAUAAGGAUCGGCUAACUCCGUGCCAGCAGCCGCGGUAAUACGGCGGAUCCGAGCGUUGUCCGGAUUUAUUGGGUUUAAGGGGAGCGUAGAUGGGUUGUUAAGUCAGUUGUGAAAGUUUGCGGCUCAACCGUAAAAUUGCAAUUGAUACUGGGAGUCUUGAGUACAGUUGAGGUAGGCGGAAUUCGUGGUGUAGCGGUGAAAUGCUUAGAUAUCACGAAGAACUCUGAUUGCGAAGGCAGCUUACUAAACUGUCACUGACACUGAUGCUCGAAGGUGUGGGUAUCAAAAAGGAUUAGAUACCCCUGUAGUC
This 460-nucleotide ribosomal RNA is filed under the name uncultured bacterium. Its description in RNAcentral is "partial 16S ribosomal RNA". It matches the Rfam family "Bacterial small subunit ribosomal RNA", at positions 338 to 795 of the family's 1533-position model. The record is from RNAcentral.